UCAUUAUUAUUCUACCUUUAUUUCUACAAGGAAAAUAGACUGAGACCAAGGUCUCUUUUACAGCUGGGCCCUGUGUAUACAUGUUUACACAUACAGUUUAGGUACAAUGAUUAAGAAACUACACAAGACAAACAAAACCAUCACAGAUAACACAAACAAAUACAGCAGCAGAUUGUUACACUUACACAUCGGUUAUUCCCCUAACAGGUUAUUCCCCUAACAGGUUAUUCCCCUAACAGGUUGUUCCCCUAACAGGUUAUUCCCCUAACAGGUUAUUCCCCUAACAGGUUGUUCCCCUAACAGGUUAUUCCCCUAACAGGUUGUUCCCCUAACAGGUUGUUCCCCUAACAGGUUAUUCCCCUAACAGGUUGUUCCCCUAACAGGUUAUUCCCCUAACAGGUUAUUCCCCUAACAGGUUGUUCCCCUAACAGGUUGUUCCCCUAACAGGUUAUUCCCCUAACAGGUUAUUCCCCUAACAGGUUAUUCCCCUAACAGGUUGUUCCCCUAACAGGUUGUUCCCCUAACAGGUUGUUCCCCUAACAGGUUGUUCCCCUAACAGGUUGUUCCCCUAACAGGUUGUUCCCCUAACAGGUUAUUCCCCUAACAGGUUAUUCCCCUAACAGUUUAUUCCCCUAACAGUUUAUUCCCCUAACAGGUUAUUCCCCUAACAGGUUGUUCCUCUAACAGGUUAUUCCCCUAACAGGUUGUUCCUCUAACAGGUUAUUCCUCUAACAGGUUGUUCCCCUAACAGGUUAUUCCUCUAACAGGUUGUUCCCCUAACAGGUUGUUCCCCUAACAGGUUGUUCCCCUAACAGGUUGUUCCCCUAACAGGUUAUUCCUCUAACAGGUUGUUCCCCUAACAGGUUAUUCCUCUAACAGGUUGUUCCCCUAACAGGUUGUUCCCCUAACAGGUUAUUCCUCUAACAGGUUAUUCCCCUAACAGGUUAUUCCCCUAACAGCACAAUAACUUGCAUUACCCAAAACUGUUACAAGCAAUACAAAAAUACAUAUCCUCCAAUAAAUAUUUAAAAUGGGCGACAGGGGGACAAGAGUCUCAAUAUUAAGUUUAGUCUGCAGACUAUUCCAUAGGCAAGGAGCGUAACAGGAAAAGGCAGCCAUACCCAACUCUGUGGAAAUCGCAUAGGCCUCAAGUGUAAUCCAUGCUUGAGACCUGGUUUUAGGAAUUCUAAUUAUAAUAUUGAUGAGUGAUGAUAAAUAAGAAGGUAGUUUAUUCAGAGGUGCUUUAUAGACAAACACGAGAGCAUGUUGUUCUCGUCUCACGGACAGCGAAGUCCAACCCACAUUUUGACAUCAAACACAGUGGUGAGUUCUGUAGCUAGCACCCGUAAUAAACAUAAGUGCGCAAUGAUAAGUAGCAUCCAGCGAUUUAAGUGUUGAUGCCAUAGCAUGCAUGUAGAUCAUAUCCCCAUAAUCUAUAACAGACAUAAAAGUAGCUUGCACAAUUUGUCUUCUAUUUGUAGAGAACAAACAUGUCCUGUCUCUAUAGAGGAAGCCUAGCUUGAUUUUUAGCCAUUUAUAAAGUUUGUCAAUUUGCAUUUUAAUAAACAGUUUAUCAUCCAACCAUGUCCCUAACUAUUUAUAUGCAGAGACUUGAUUCAUUCGAGGAUCAUCUAAGCUCGUAAGUGCAAGUGUAUUUUCAACCAAC
Molecule: long non-coding RNA, 1666 nt
Organism: Oncorhynchus keta (chum salmon)
Lineage: Eukaryota; Metazoa; Chordata; Actinopteri; Salmoniformes; Salmonidae
Exons: 3
Source: RefSeq, a predicted model, not a curated record